UGAGAGAGAAAGAGUUGGCUUAAAUUUCAUUUUCUUUAAUGAUAAUGCAAAUGCACUACCUUAGUGAUGAUGAAACUCACUUGCAUUGGAUGCACCAAUUCUCAUCCAUUGGAUCAAAACCUAUCUACUUGAUCCUAACCAUUCAUUCUCCUAUAAAUAAGCAUGCAAGGCUCCUUGUUUUCCACACAAAUCCUAGACAACUCUCUUGAAAGCUUUGUGCUUUGGUUUUCUCUCCCUUUUCUCUCCAUCUACCACACCACCACUUUGGUGUUCUUGAAGUCAUUUUUCUGUCCAAAUCAAAUUGAAAAGGAGCUAAGAAAUUACACGAAGGAGGUUGCUGAUGCAGAUCUGGAGGACGAAGGCAUGGACUCAUAUGCCUGUUUUAAUGGUUUUUGAAACUAUUGCUGUAGCUAUAUGUGCUAGCUUAGAAAUUGCUAGGCAUAUUUAUGCGUGUUUUAUUUCAAGGCCUGUAAUAAUUAUGAAGAUGUUUUGUUUGGUGUAUUUUUAUGUUGUAUAUGAGCCAUUCGUGGCACUUAUUUUAAUGAACCUAGUGUGCAAAUGGCGUGUAA
Long non-coding RNA from Alnus glutinosa, 569 nucleotides. RefSeq lists it as uncharacterized. The transcript has 3 exons. Lineage: Eukaryota; Viridiplantae; Streptophyta; Magnoliopsida; Fagales; Betulaceae. The record is from RefSeq and is a predicted model, not a curated record.